RNAcentral lists this ribosomal RNA (381 nucleotides) under uncultured bacterium. RNAcentral's name for it is "bacterial SSU rRNA". It matches the Rfam family "Bacterial small subunit ribosomal RNA", at positions 434 to 793 of the family's 1533-position model. The record is from RNAcentral.
CAGUAGGGAGGAAGGUAGUGUAGUUAACACCUGCACUAUUUGACGUUACCUACAGAAGAAGACACCGGCUAACUCCGUGCCAGCAGCCGCGGUAAUACGGGAGGGUGCGAGCGUUAAUCGGAAUUACUGGGACGUAAAGCGCAUGCAGGCGGCCUGUUAAGUCAGAUGUAGAAAGGCCCGGGGACUUAACCCGUACGGUAAGUUGCUAUUUAGUAAACGUGGCGAGGCUAGAGUCUUGUAGAGGGGGGUAGGAAUUUCAGGUGUAGCGGUGAAAUGCGUAGAGAUCUGAAGGAAUACCAGUGGCGAAGGCGGCCCCCUGGACAAAGACUGACGCUCAGAUGCGAAAGCGUGGGGAGCAAACAGGAUUAGAUACCCUGGUAG